Molecule: ribosomal RNA, 253 nt
Filed under: uncultured bacterium
Lineage: Bacteria
Description: partial 16S ribosomal RNA
Rfam family: Bacterial small subunit ribosomal RNA
Source: RNAcentral
UACGAAGGGGGCUAGCGUUGCUCGGAAUCACUGGGCGUAAAGCGCACGUAGGCGGCUUUCUAAGUCAGGGGUGAAAUCCUGGAGCUCAACUCCAGAACUGCCUUUGAUACUGGAGAGCUUGAGUCCGGAAGAGGUGAGUGGAACUCCGAGUGUAGAGGUGAAAUUCGUAGAUAUUCGGAAGAACACCAGUGGCGAAGGCGGCUCACUGGUUCGGUACUGACGCUGAGGUGCGAAAGCGUGGGGAGCAAACAGG